Molecule: unclassified non-coding RNA, 470 nt
Filed under: Hevea brasiliensis (rubber tree)
Lineage: Eukaryota; Viridiplantae; Streptophyta; Magnoliopsida; Malpighiales; Euphorbiaceae
Source: RNAcentral
UCAAUUGCUUUUAAUAAUUUUAAGCAUGACGGAAGCUCUGGUAAACUCUUAAGACUCUCGCAAUCGCUUAAAUCAAGCUCUUUCAACUUCGAAAGUUGUUUGAUGCUUUCAGGAAGACUUGCUAAAUUUGAGCAAUUCCGGAGAAAUAACUUUUCAAGACAUUUCAACUCGCCUAUGCUGCUUGGAAUAGUCACGAGUCUUGAACAUCCAGCUAGAUCAAGUUCUUCAAGACGUUUCAAAUUGCCAAUGCUGCUUGGAAGACUCUCGAGUGCUGUACACUGAUCCAAGGACAAUAUGACAAGUUGAGACAGAUGCUUAAUUGAUGAGGGCAGUUGUUCUAUUCCAGUGUAAUUUAAAGUUAGAAUCCUUAUAUUACACGGAAUCUCUGGACAAUCUUUGAUUUUGCAGCAAUCACUUAGAUGAAGUUCAGUAAGCUUGCUCAGAUUUUGAAGAGAGGGAAUUUCAACCAA